CCAUCUCGUUGCUGCUAAAAGGACCAUUUCUUAUAUAGCGCCGGCGCAAAAAGAAGAAAGAAAAAUUCUUACCUGCUUGUCUCGUUUGUCUAAGUUUGACGUCUUUUCCACGUAAUUGAACUUGAUGAAUGUUGGCGUUUGUUUAUCUCUCUAACGCGCACUGUCCUUUCAACACCCCUCCGGAUGACAUAUCUGGGCCGGUUCGGUUAUUUUCAGAACAAUACAGCACCUGUCUAUCUCCAGGGGUUUUGUGAUUAGAGCUUGGAUUGUCAAUUACAACAAGUCAAACCGCAACUCUCGGUUUUCUUUGUCCGGAAAAAGAGUGCUAGUUUUACCAGCUAGCCAGGCUAUGCUAGUCGAUGGAAAAUAGUAAGCACAUUUAUAUGGUUUUGGAAUGACCUGUUCAGGAGAAAAAAUGCAGUUUCAGUUCCUUUGGAUGACAAUUGAAGGAAACUGAGCAUGUUUGACCACGAUAAAAAGGCAUGUUUUAAAAAUGUUAAAAUACAAGCUGUCGUCAAACCAUCCAUGCAUCCCACGUUUCUUCCAACUGUUAAGCCUAAGUGAGAUCGCUUAGGUUAUGUACAUCGCUACUGAGACAUCGUGUUCUUGGACAACUGGUAUGAUCUACCCAGGCAGAUGCGAGGAUGCGCACCACCAGGUCCAUUCCAUGCACACAUGCAUCAUCUUGGCAUUCUGGCUGGCAGGAAUUGAUCCUGAACGACAACCAACAAGGGGCGACAUAAGAGACGGCACACAGGGAGAGCUGAGGAAAAACGCAGUCCGGAUGUUAUUUUAAAA
This is a long non-coding RNA of Gadus morhua (Atlantic cod), 798 nucleotides long. RefSeq lists it as uncharacterized. The transcript is spliced from 3 exons. Lineage: Eukaryota; Metazoa; Chordata; Actinopteri; Gadiformes; Gadidae. The record is from RefSeq and is a predicted model, not a curated record.